Molecule: ribosomal RNA, 357 nt
Filed under: uncultured eukaryote
Lineage: Eukaryota
Description: SSU rRNA
Rfam family: Eukaryotic small subunit ribosomal RNA
Source: RNAcentral
GUAGCGUAUAUUAAAGUUGUUGCAGUUAAAAAGCUCGUAGUUGGAUUUCUGGCGAACCGUUGCGGCCCGUGCUCGUUUCGGGCGUGUGUGCCGUGUCGUGUUUGUCAUCCUUCCAGAAAGCUGCGUCUACCAUUCACUUGGCCGGACGUACGCGAUCUGGAUCGAUUACUUUGAAAAAAUUAGAGUGUUUAAAGCAGGCUUAUGCUGUGAAUACAUUAGCAUGGAAUAAUAAUUUAGGACUUCGGUUCUAUUUUGUUGGUUUCUAGGACUGAAGUAAUGAUUGAUAGGGACAGUUGGGGGUGCUAGUAUUCCGCGGCCAGAGGUGAAAUUCUUGGAUUCGCGGAAGACUAACUACUG